UACAGAGGGUGCAAGCGUUGUUCGGAAUUAUUGGGCGUAAAGCGCGUGUAGGCGGCUUUGCAAGUCGGGUGUGAAAGCCCUCAGCUUAACUGAGGAAGUGCGCCCGAAACUGCAGAGCUUGGAUACCGGAGAGGAUGGCGGAAUUCCCCAAGUAGAGGUGAAAUUCGUAGAUAUGGGGAGGAACACCGGUGGCGAAGGCGGCCAUCUGGACGGCUAUUGACGCUGAGACGCGAAAGCGUGGGAAGCAAACAGG
RNAcentral lists this ribosomal RNA (253 nucleotides) under uncultured bacterium. Its description in RNAcentral is "partial 16S ribosomal RNA". It matches the Rfam family "Bacterial small subunit ribosomal RNA", at positions 524 to 776 of the family's 1533-position model. The record is from RNAcentral.